RNAcentral lists this long non-coding RNA (665 nucleotides) under Homo sapiens (human). RNAcentral describes it as "HSALNT0314957". Lineage: Eukaryota; Metazoa; Chordata; Mammalia; Primates; Hominidae. The record is from RNAcentral.
CUGACGAAGCUCACAUUCUGAGAUAAAGGAGCUGAGGCGCUGAGGGUCGCACAGCUGGUACGUGCUGGAUGGAGUUGGGCCAUGGGCCUGGGUAGUUUGUCUCUAGAGACAGUACACCUCACACGCAUGGACUGCUGCUGUUCCCAGAGCUGAGCGACAACACUUUGGCACAGAGAAGGAAGGAGAAUGGCAAAGCCAAGAUCAAGUCCUCGUAUCUAGGUCUAAAGGAGAGAAGAAGAAGAGGAAGAGGAAGAGGAAGCCGAGUCUUGCUUUGUGUAAGCAAAGGUUUUCCAGAACCCCUCACCAGCAGACUUCUACUUGCAUCUCACUACUACAACAACGAUGUCACAUGGCCAUCCCUCGCUGCAAGCAAAUAUGGAAGAGCUAGUGAAUGUUUCAAGCGGAUGGCAAUGAGGAGAAGGUUCAGAAUGGCUGUUGGAUCCACCCCUCUUCAGUUUUGCCAUAAUCUGUAACUAUUAAUAAGGAGCCUCCUUCCUAGUCAGGUUGACCCAAAUCUCUGGAAAGCCUACUGCACUUUUCAAAAGCAUAGUCAAUAUGCUUUCAUAUUUGGAAACUUUAAAAAUGGAUAAUAUGUAUAAAGAAAAUUAAACUUAAUAUCUACUUGAUGUCUGGAAACCUGUGAAAGAUGUAGUGUUUAAUAUAUG